CAGACAUGCAGGCCACAGCCGUCACUUUCCCUGUGCCUGAGCUGGAAGUCUUUGUGACUUAGUGGGUUCAACUCUGCUUCCCUCGGGUCCUCUGGGGGAUGCCUGCUUCGCCUUGAGGACACAGCUGUACUGCUAAGCACAGGGCUGGCGGUUCAUCAGUGAGGGACAGAGGCCUCCAGUGCCACUGAGGCUGUGACAGGGGAGAAGGAAGCCUGAGAAAGAAGGGGCCUGAUGGUUUCCCUGUCAAGUUCUUUUGAGGAAACAUACUCAGUAGUUUUUUCACCUCUUCCUCAGCAUUUCAUGUUUCACUAUGGAAAAACACAAGGCAGCGCAGAGAAUCUGCUUCAAUUCCUGCCUCUUGUCUUGGGCUUUCCAGACAGGUUCGGUUUUAUGAUUUUUGAUUCUUUUUGUCUUUUUAUUUUUUAUCGGUACCAGGGACCAAACUCAUGACCACACACUUGCAAGGCAGGCGCUUAUGCUGCUAAGCUAAAUCCCCAGCCCCCAUGAUUUUUGAUUUCGCUCAGAGCCUCAGAGUCUUUUUCCCUCUCAGCAAGGACCUUGAUUCUGGCUCCACGCACUUGUAGCAUACUCUGUACUUCAGCCCCGUAUCAUGGAAACUUAUGGAUAAGGGUUUGUUUUCCAGUGUCUAGUAUUUUCUUCAGAAAUGUGUCCCUACAAGUGACUCAGUCUUUGUCUUCUUUCUCAGCCUUAUAGGCUCUGGUAAGCUGGUCCUUGGCGGUGGUCUCCCUGAUCUCGAAGAAGGCUUUCUUCCGGAACACACCCUACUUGGAUGUCUUCUUUUUUUUUGGUCAUUUUUUUUUUUUUUUAUCGGUACCAGGGAUCGAACUCAUGACUGCCUGCUUACAAGGCAGGCGCUUAUGCCGCUGAGCUAAAUCCCCAGCCCCUUGGAUGUCUUCUUAAUGAGGCCUCAAGUUUACUUCAGCUGCAAUAGAUCUGCUUCUCUGAUUUUUACCCUGCAGCGGAUUUUCACAAAGGAUGCGGUAACGGCACACGGGCAGUCACAUCCCUCCAGUGCCUGCUUACUGUAUCUGGGUCCUGGGGCCGGGAAGAAGCAGCCUCAGGCUAAUGGGAGCCUUCUGCAGCGAGUUCUGCCCUCUCCGACCCAGUCCCUGGCCAGCAUUUCCUCGUUUCAUCCUUUCACGGCAUUUCUGUUGAACCGCGUACUGUUCUGCUGCAUUUUACAUUUGAAAAUAAGUGGUGUGUUUGACCAUCUUCUUGAAAAAAAAUUUUUUGGGGGCUGUUUGAGACAAGGUCUUGCUAUGUGGUUCAGACUGGCCUUGGGCUCACCUUGUAGCCCAGGCUGGUCUCAAACUCACAACAAUCCUCCUACCUCAGCCUCCCAAGUACUGGGAUUACAGUUGUGCGCCACCAUACCUGGCAUAUUUGAAUAUUUUAUAAAAAAUAAAAAAGAUGGGCUAGAGUCUGAGCAGUGGGCUGUAAGUCCAAACAGUCCUUAAAUAGAGAGGUUGUUUAAUGAAUGUGUCUGUAAUUAAUCUGGUGGAGAAAACUGUUUUUUAAACACUUCAAGUAUUUAUUGUUGACCCACGUGUGCUGAACACAGAAAAAGAUUCCUGACUAAGCAUGUUCAAUUGUCCAGCCAAUGGUGUUUUUAAACUUGAUGUGGUGAUAUAAUCUUGACCAGGAUACAGAAGGUAUCUUGUGGCCUCUGAAAGAGUAAAAAUGCUACAGAUCAUGUGAAACCACUCAUAGUACCAGCCCGGUACUCCUCCAGUGGCUCCUCUUGGAAUUCCACCUGAUUUUAUUAGCAGUCUUCAUCAAAUCCACUGAGGAAUGGGAUGAUUCUGCUUUUGCAGAAUCACUUGGUUCUGAAAGUCUCGUGAGAAGACCUGGUUAGACUCAGAGGCAAGAAGAUGCAUAUGGAGGCAGACAGAGGCAAAAGAUCUAGAGAAAAUUUCAAGACAGCUCCACAUUCAUGAUGUGGCAUGAGCAUUGCUGGCUUCUUUUAGCCAGACUUAUAGUGACAAUUGGGUCCAAAACGCAGAGCAGAUAAAUUUUAAAAACUUAAAUUUUGGACCAGAAGGACUAAUGUAUAAAGUUGGAGCCAGAUGAGGUAGGACUGCAGGAGAAAUUAGUGCCAUUAAAGAGGAACAACGUACUUUGUACAAAGAUAAGAAGAAGAUGCAAGACGGCAUUUCAGGAAUUGGCAAGACUGCACCCAUCAUAGGCUCUAAGGUGCAAACCUUUCAUCUGAGAAGAGAAUCUUUGGGCACCCUGCUUGAGAAGGGCAAGUUAGGGAAUUGGCUUUCCAGAAUUCUCUUCACCAUGCUCAACUAUCCUAAUACUCAGUGACCACUACAGCCAUGGCCCAGCAGGGCCUGGUUAUUACCCACACCAGUGGCAGACCUUGACAUUGUUCAUGUGAUGCUGGUUUUAUUGGCACGCAGAAUGGAUGAGUUCUGGGGUCGUGAAGACUUACACCCAGAUUUUGAAAGAAGACCUGAGAGGCCAAGCAGUGAUCUAGGAAGCUGUGAGUGAAGUUGAAGGUGCACUGGAAAUGUGGAGGUGCCAGGAAUGUGGAACAUCUGUUGAGGAAAACUGCAGAGAGUAAACCAUGCUGAGAGAGACAGAGAGAAAGAGAGACACUGGGACCAUGUGGGCUGCAACUAGUAAGACCAUAGGGGUGAGGCUGCCCAGGCGCUUUGAAGCUCACAUCUGUCCACAACCUUUUCCAGGUGCCAGUAUGGAGCUACACAGGCUUUCAUGUUUUCUUUUUUUGUUUUCAUCUUGCUGUGGUCCGAUUUCUUCUGUCCUCCUAGUCCUGCCUUUUGGAUUGGGAAUGUGUAGCCUGUGCCAUUGUCCUUGAAACUGUGUAACUUGUUUUUAAGUUUCACAGCCAAGUGUUUGCUUAGAGUUUCAGAGGAGGCUUUGGACUAUUUAUUUGAGACAAGGUCUUUUUAUGUAGUCCAGGCUGCCCUUGAAUUUGCUAUGCAGGGAUCCUUCUGUUUCAGGCUCCCAAGUGCUGGGAUUAAAGGUUAUGUCAUUGUGCCCAGCAGGACUUGGAACUGUUAAAACUUUGUUGGCUCUUAGAAAUGGACUAAAUGCAUUUACAUAGUAAGAUGGAUGUCAGCCUUUUGGUAACAGAAUGUUACAGUUUAGAUCUAAACUAUCUUCCAAAAGUCUUCUGUUUGGUGUUGGGGCUUUUGGAAGGUGGGUUGGUUAUAGGGGUGCUAUAUUCACUCAUGGAUUAAUCCAAAGAUUAGUUCAUAGUUCAUUAGUUCAUGCUGUUUGAGUUGGGGGCUGGGAAGAAGAGUGUGUCAAUGGAGGUGUGUCUUUGGAGGGUAGAUUGCCCUGUAUGGCCCCACAUUUCUCUCUCUGUUUCUUGGCUUCCAUGAAGUGAGGACAUUUCCUCCACCAGGGCCUUCCACCAUGAUGUUUCUGCCUUGGAGCCAGCUGACCACAGACUGAAUCCUCCAAAACUAUGAGCCAAAAUAAACCUCUCCUUCUUUAAACUGCAAGUUACAGGUCCCCACUCUGAGCUCUAGGCACCCUGAGGGAUUGCCCAUGGCACAAGAGAACCAUGAAAGGACAGGUAGGAAGUGAUUUCCCUACUCUCUGAGCUUUGAGUCAUCUUAGUUUAAUUAUAAAUAGAAUCAUAUAUUUUGUUUAUUGAACUUAGAGUCUUGGGGAAAACUGCUUGAACAAUUUUAAGAGUUUGGGUGUUAACUUUAUUUUUGUUUGUUUGGGUUUUCUGGUAAUGGAAAUUGAACUCAGGACUUUGCAUUUGCCAGGCUGGUGCUUCCAGGAAUUAGGAGGCUGAGGCAGAAGGCUUGCUACAAGUUCAAAGCCAGCCUGGACUACAUAGCAAGCCCUUGUCUCAGCAAACAAACAAAAAACAAAACCUCCCAAAACAAACAAACAGAUAUUCUUCAUUAAAUGAAUGAAUGAAUGAAAUGGUAUUUGGGGGCUCUGGAGGAAGCAGCUGCCUUUGGUAACUUCCCAGAAGAGAUGACAUUUCAUCUAAGGGUGAGCUGGGAAUGAAGCAGAUGGGAAAAGGCAGGAAGUUGCUGCAGACAGGGGAGCUGUGUUCAAAGGGUGCAGAGAGGGCCUUGCUUUCCAAGCCUGACAUGGUGGUCCCAGUGACCACUACUGGACAGAUCUGAUGGGGACGUCACAGGGAGAGCUAGGGUUGGCCCUGGGCUGUUGGGGAACCAUGGAGAGGGCUUGGAGCAGCGAAGAGUCAGGGCAGGAGGAGAAGCUGGAUGGAGAAAUGAAAGUGGGAAGGUUCUACAUGGGCACUGGAGACCUGGAUUCUAUUUCCUGUGAGACAGUCAGGGUCACCUUGGGACAGAAGUUGCCAGGGACAUUUUGGGAGGUUAGGGCUCUGCCCAUCAUUUCUGGCAGAGGAAGGUAGGCACAAGACUGCCGGGUAGCUGACAGAUCUGUAGCCUUCGAACAUGGGUGGUGGUGCCAGCUACAGCCCUGUUAUAGGGCAGCUUUUCUUCCAUCUUCUCGUGCCUGUCAUCACUGACCAUGGGUGUCCCCUGUUGUGUGGGGUGAUGUUCAUGGAGAACAGGGAGAUCUCCAAGGCAGGGCAAACUGGGAGGAGCUCUUGCCAUGCCUGCUCAGGGGCAGGAGUGGGUGCCGGGGCCAGGGUAGGCUGAACUGCUUCAGUCAGGUCUUCUGGGUUUGGUGCUGGGAAGUGAGGUUGGUUUUCCUCAUGGGGUGCUUGAGCCGCUCUGUGGUCUUGGCAAACACUGUGGUUCAUUCUGCCCUCCGAGUGCCACCAGCGGUAAAGUGGGUAGACCCAGGCAAGGAAGGCAAGCAAGGUGACCCCGCCAAGGCUGCUCUGUGGGUAGGGCUGCCUGACUUCCUGGCUCUGGGGACAGAGAAAAGGGUGUGGGGUUUCAGCUCCUUUGGGUGCAGCUGGGAAGCUGGGUAAAGGAUGCCUGGGGCAGUUGGGCACCAAGAUCCAGAAACCUGUAGGGUGCAAGAGCUAACCGAGGCCUCCAGAGUCGUAUGGGGGCCUCACCACACUGUAUUCCAGCCAAUGUAGUAGACAGCCGGCCAGAAGCAGAGAUGCAGAAGGCACACAGUGAGGAGGGCCAGGAGCCCGAGCAAUGUCACUUAUGUGAAGGCCCAGGGGUGUUACAGUAGGCCAGCUUCCUGGCUGAGCAGCUCCUGCUUGAACCUGGGCCAGAAUCAUCAGUCAGGGAGCUCUGGGGCCUGGGCCCUGGCAAGGAUGGGUCUCUGUCUUAUAGGCACCCCCUGGUGGGAACCCCUCAAUCAUGGGGUCAGCACCAUUCCCUCGUGCUGCCCCAUGUCACUCUGCCACUCCUCUGAGGAUCCCCUUCCUGCUCUGUUGCUCUUUGUCCCCUCCUCUCUAGCGCAGGCAAACUUUUCAAGACUACCUUUGACCUCCAAUCCAGCUUCCUCAUAGACUUCAGUGUAGCCACAUCUGCUUCUGCCUACUGCUUAUCUGCCUGAGAGGCUUUCUGGGAAGCCUCACCUUUACCAGUCAGCCCGGCAGCUACAUCCUCUCUUUGUCUGAUGACAACCUGGUCCCUCUGACCCUCAUCAUCAUUGUGACAUUCCAGAAUGGGGCUCUGGUCUGGAUCUAUGGAGCCAGAAGGUGAUGUAUAAGCCCCAGGACUUCCAAGGCAGGAAGCUGGCCUACUGUAACACCCCUGGGCCUCCCAGAGUGCUAGGAUUACAGAUGGGAUUGAAGAAAGCUCACAUCGCCACUAAGUUCCCAAAUUUCUACACCUCUAUCAGGCCCUGACUCCCAGGAUGUUGGUCAUUAUUUGUGUUGGAAUAGGUUGGAUGUGGCUUUAGAUACAAGAUUUAUCUCGUGAUCAACUCCAGCAGGACCCAUGAAGCUGAGCACCGGAAAACUCUGCCUCCCAGCUUGUCUCUGUGGCAGCCUCUGCCACCUCCUCAGCACAGCACUAGAAUGAUGCUAGGAGAACUGGCGGAUCAGUCUACCAUGUGCUGGAAGCCUCUCAGGAUUCUGAGACCUACAGGUGCCUACACUGCUGGACAAUUUCCUCUCUUUUGCACAAGGUCUGUGCAUCUAUGAAGGCUGCUCAUGCUCGCAUCACCCUUGUCAGGCCUGCACCCCAGAUACUCCUGACUCUUUCCUCAUUUGUGAUUGGCUGAUUAUUCUCUAGGAUUUGGCUUACUAAAGCUAUGUGUCCACUCCUCUUGAUUAACUUUAUAGGAAAGUACGAUUUUUAUUUUCUCAGUCAAAGAUUUUUUGCCCAUGCUGAGUGUGGUGGCACAUCCCUGUGAUUUCAGCACUCCAGAGGCCGAGGCAGGAAACUGCUGUGAAUUCCAGGCCAGCCUGAACUAUACAGCAAGACCCUGCCUCAAAAAACAAACAAAAUAAAAUAAAAUUCCCACCACUAUGGGAACAUUGGCUUUUGCAUCCUUUAGCUUCAAAAGAAUCCCAUUGUGGAGGAAAAUCCUGAUUCAAAAAUCUAGUGCCUGGAUACAUCCAAGACCAAAUAAGUCAGACUCUCUGGUGGUAGAUCUCAGACAUAAAUGGUUUUUAAGACUUCUCACAUGAUUCAAAUAUGUAGCCAAGGCCAAUAAUCACUGGUUUGUGACUUAAAUAAUCGAUUUUGAAAUCUUCCUUACUCAAUUUGCAAUUAGGAGCAGUCAAGUCUCUAAGGCUAUUUUUCUUGCCUAUGAAAUAGAAUACAUCACAGCAUUCCCUUCUAUUCUUAUCUCUGAGAAUAAAUGUGAAGUUAUUACUAUGA
Molecule: long non-coding RNA, 6740 nt
Organism: Cavia porcellus (domestic guinea pig)
Lineage: Eukaryota; Metazoa; Chordata; Mammalia; Rodentia; Caviidae
Exons: 2
Source: RefSeq, a predicted model, not a curated record